Molecule: ribosomal RNA, 406 nt
Filed under: uncultured bacterium
Lineage: Bacteria
Description: partial 16S ribosomal RNA
Rfam family: Bacterial small subunit ribosomal RNA
Source: RNAcentral
AUUGAACGCUGGCGGCAGGCCUAACACAUGCAAGUCGAACGAGUGGCGGACGGGUGAGUAAUGUCUGGGAAACUGCCUGAUGGAGGGGGAUAACUACUGGAAACGGUAGCUAAUACCGCAUACCAUCAGAUGUGCCCAGAUGGGAUUAGCUAGUUGGUGGGGUAACGGCUCACCAAGGCGACGAUCCCUAGCUGGUCUGAGAGGAUGAACAGCCACACUGGAAAUGAGAAAAGGUUCAAGCUCCUACGGUGGGCAGCAGUUGGGAAUAUUGCACAAUGGGCGCAAGCCUGAUGCAGCCAUGCCGCGUGUAUGAAGAAGGCCUUCGGGUUGUAAAGUACUUUCAGCGGGGAGGCGUUACCCGCAGAAGAAGCACCGGCUAACUCCGUGCCAGCAGCCGCGGUAAUUC